Long non-coding RNA from Zea mays, 1069 nucleotides. RefSeq lists it as uncharacterized. The record is from RefSeq and is a predicted model, not a curated record. The transcript is spliced from 2 exons. Lineage: Eukaryota; Viridiplantae; Streptophyta; Magnoliopsida; Poales; Poaceae.
UAUGGUUGUUUAUUCUUUUGAUCAGGAAGGAGAGAAAGGGAGAAUCAGUUAGAAGAAAGAAGAGUCUGAAAGCUGAGUAAUUUACCUCAACUUUAUUGCCCAUGUUAUUAAGAUCUAUUGAUGAUCAUCCCACUUACUCCUAGGAUGCACAAACUUAAUGGAUCCUGGACUGACAUAUUUAUCACGGUUUUUGGGUUGUCUUCCUUCCCAGUUUUGUUUUACCAGUGGAGACAAGGAGAUUGGAGGACAGAAGGGCGCAGCACAGGACUACAGCGAGGGGGAAGGCCAGAUCAAGCAGGAGACAACAAGAGGUGGCUGCUGCUCAAUUGGUAUUGCAUAGUAAUUGAUAAUUGUUGUGAGCUCUCUCUUUCUGCUAGCUGCAGUACAUAUCGGAGUAGUGCAAGUAGACUUUUAAACGACGGGAGAAACCUGUGUAGUAUAUCAGAAAGGAACCAUAAUGGAAGAAUUACGCAGUAAUCAGAUUCUAGGACUUUUGUGGUGCCAAUAUGAUGAUCAUGUUUCUUUUAUUUUGUGCAGGCCGACAGUGCUCAUGCUCAAAUAUACCCUCCACUCACUGGCGUUUUCAAACCUCUGAUAAAGGAGGGCAAUGUCUACAAUGUCUCCUACAUUCAGAUCAAGAAAGCUAAUAGGAUGUACAAGCCUGUUGACAACGAUAUCUUGAUCGGUUUCACAAAAUGGAUCCUAUGUUGCCUCGACAAACCCGCGGUUUGAACACGUGACAGAUGACGGCUUAGCUUCUGUGGAUGGACAUCUUGGUCGCUUUUGUAGAUGGAAUGUCUGGUUGGCUUUUGUAGACAGAAUCAGGCUGCACUUGUGCUUGUGUAACACUUAUGAGCAUGGUUGUGUGGACUGUGUCGGCCAAAGUAUGCCUCCCAGUGCCUUGUAUAUAUUACCUACUUAGCUGCCUAUCCCCAACUAGGUUGCCUGAUAAUAGACUUCGAUCAUGUCAUGCUAUUCUAUAACAAUUUCCAAUGUAACUUGCCUGAUCGUCAUACUAUGGUACACGCUUAAAUUUGGUGCUGCAACUUUAAUGUGGAUUAUGUUUAGU